Molecule: ribosomal RNA, 450 nt
Filed under: uncultured bacterium
Lineage: Bacteria
Description: partial 16S ribosomal RNA
Rfam family: Bacterial small subunit ribosomal RNA
Source: RNAcentral
GUGGGGAAUAUUGGACAAUGGGCGAAAGCCUGAUCCAGCCAUGCCGCGUGUGUGAAGAAGGUCUUCGGAUUGUAAAGCACUUUAAGUUGGGAGGAAGGGCAGUAAGUUAAUACCUUGCUGUUUUGACGUUACCGACAGAAUAAGCACCGGCUAACUUCGUGCCAGCAGCCGCAGUAAUACGAAGGGUGCAAGCGUUAAUCGGAAUUACUGGGCGUAAAGCGCGCGUAGGUGGUUUUGUAAGUUGGAGGUGAAAUCCCCGGGCUCAACCUGGGAACUGCCUCCAAAACUGCAUGACUAGAGUACGGUAGAGGGUAGUGGAAUUUCCUGUGUAGCGGUGAAAUGCGUAGAUAUAGGAAGGAACACCAGUGGCGAAGGCGACUACCUGGACUGAUACUGACACUGAGGUGCGAAAGCGUGGGGAGCAAACAGGAUUAGAAACCCUAGUAGUCC